This 377-nucleotide unclassified non-coding RNA is filed under the name uncultured Pseudobdellovibrionaceae bacterium. Its description in RNAcentral is "uncultured Bdellovibrionaceae bacterium contains 16S-23S intergenic spacer region". Lineage: Bacteria; Pseudomonadati; Bdellovibrionota; Bdellovibrionia; Bdellovibrionales; Pseudobdellovibrionaceae. The record is from RNAcentral.
UCCGGCUUAUCACCGGCAGUCCCUUUAGAGUGCCCAACUGAAUGAUGGCAACUAAAGGCGAGGGUUGCGCUCGUUGCGGGACUUAACCCAACAUCUCACGACACGAGCUGACGACAGCCAUGCAGCACCUGUGAACCGGCCAUUGCUGGCGGCACCAUUUCUGGUAGCCUUCCGGUCCAUGUCAAGCCUAGGUAAGGUUCUGCGCGUUGCAUCGAAUUAAACCACAUGCUCCACCGCUUGUGCGGGCCCCCGUCAAUUUCUUUGAGUUUUAACCUUGCGGCCGUACUCCCCAGGCGGGAUACUUAACGCGUUAGCUUCGGCACUGAAGGGGUCAAUACCUCCAACACCAAGUAUCCAUCGUUUACGGCGUGGACUAC